RNAcentral lists this ribosomal RNA (440 nucleotides) under uncultured bacterium. RNAcentral's name for it is "partial 16S ribosomal RNA". It matches the Rfam family "Bacterial small subunit ribosomal RNA", at positions 338 to 795 of the family's 1533-position model. The record is from RNAcentral.
CCUACGGGUGGCAGCAGUGGGGAAUAUUGCACAAUGGGGGAAACCCUGAUGCAGCGACGCCGCGUGAGUGAAGAAGUCCUUCGGUAUGUAAAGCACUAUCAGCAGGGAAGAAAAUGACGGUACUCGAUUAAGAAGCCCCGACUAAUUACGUCCCAGCAGCCGCGGUAAUACGUAGGGGCCAAGCGUUCUCCGGACUUACUGGGUGUAAAGGUAGCGUAGACGGCAGCACAAGGCUGAAGUGAAAUGCCCGGGUUUAACCCCGGAACUGCUUGGGAAACUGUGCAGCUAGAGUGCAGGAGAGGUAAGUAGAAUUCCUGGUGUAGCGGUGAAAUGCGUAGAGAUUAGGAGGAACACCAGUGGCGAAGGCGGCUUACUGGACUGUAACUGACGUUGAGGCUCGAAAGCGUGGGGAGCAAACAGGAUUAGAUACCCCAGUAGUC